RNAcentral lists this ribosomal RNA (471 nucleotides) under uncultured bacterium. Its description in RNAcentral is "partial 16S ribosomal RNA". It matches the Rfam family "Bacterial small subunit ribosomal RNA", at positions 28 to 507 of the family's 1533-position model. The record is from RNAcentral.
GACGAACGCUGGCGGCGUGCUUAACACAUGCAAGUCGAACGAUGAAGCCUAGCUUGCUAGGUGGAUUAGUGGCGAACGGGUGAGUAAUACGUGAGUAACCUACCUUUAACUCUGGGAUAAGCCUGGGAAACUGGGUCUAAUACCGGAUACGACCAAUCUCCGCAUGGGGUGUUGGUGGAAAGCGUUAUGUAGUGGUUAUAGAUGGGCUCGCGGCCUAUCAGCUUGUUGGUGAGGUAACGGCUCACCAAGGCGACGACGGGUAGCCGGCCUGAGAGGGUGACCGGCCACACUGGGACUGAGACACGGCCCAGACUCCUACGGGAGGCAGAAGUGGGGAAUAUUGCACAAUGGGCGGAAGCCUGAUGCAGCGACGCCGCGUGAGGGAUGACGGCCUUCGGGUUGUAAACCUCUGUUAGCAGGGAAGAAGAGAAAUUGACGGUACCUGCAGAGAAAGCGCCGGCUAACUACGUG